GGGGUUGUGGCUCAGUGGUAGAGCGCUCACCUAGCACGCGCGAGGCCCUGAGUUUGAUCCUCAGCACCA
This 69-nucleotide transfer RNA is filed under the name Ictidomys tridecemlineatus (thirteen-lined ground squirrel). Its description in RNAcentral is "Spermophilus tridecemlineatus (thirteen-lined ground squirrel) tRNA". It matches the Rfam family "tRNA". From Rfam's summary of the family: Transfer RNA (tRNA) molecules are approximately 80 nucleotides in length. Their secondary structure includes four short double-helical elements and three loops (D, anti-codon, and T loops). Lineage: Eukaryota; Metazoa; Chordata; Mammalia; Rodentia; Sciuridae. The record is from Rfam by way of RNAcentral.